This 531-nucleotide unclassified non-coding RNA is filed under the name Hevea brasiliensis (rubber tree). Lineage: Eukaryota; Viridiplantae; Streptophyta; Magnoliopsida; Malpighiales; Euphorbiaceae. The record is from RNAcentral.
AAAAAAGUUUAUCAUAUUUAUUGCAUGAUUAGCCAAAGACUUAUUUUUACUAACUUUACAUCUGCCUCAGGUUAUCACCUUUUCAGGUUUUGCUUAUUUCAAGAUUCUAUACAAUUCAUAUAUGUGUAUAUAUAUAUAUGUUAAGGCCAGAAAAUUGUUUAAAUGACCUAAACAUCUGAGGGCUUCUCAGCAGAGAACAUGAUGAAGGAUUGCUGAACUUUGCUUUUGUAGUUGGUAAGACCACAUGAUGUGCACAAGUCCUCAAUCUCCUCCUCUGUGAAAUAGUUAUAAUUCUGCAGAAUCCUCUCACGGAGCGGCCGUUCAAUCCAGGAAGUGACUGCACUGUAUCUUAGAAAAGUGGUUCCAACAAAGACUCCACCACUUCGCAAUAUACGACAGAUUUCAGCAAUAGCAUUUGAAGGAGAUGGCCAGCAAUGUAAGGCUGCACCAGCAUGAACAGCAUCAACUGAACCUGAUGAGAAAGGAAGUCUAGAAACAUCUGCUCGAACAAGGGCAAGAUUCGUAUUUAAG